RNAcentral lists this ribosomal RNA (389 nucleotides) under uncultured bacterium. RNAcentral's name for it is "bacterial SSU rRNA". It matches the Rfam family "Bacterial small subunit ribosomal RNA", at positions 30 to 421 of the family's 1533-position model. The record is from RNAcentral.
AUUGAACGCUGGCGGAAUGCUUUACACAUGCAAGUCGAACGGCAGCACGGGGCAACCUGGUGGCGAGUGGCGAACGGGUGAGUAAUACAUCGGAACGUGCCCAAUCGUGGGGGAUAACGUAGCGAAAGUUACGCUAAUACCGCAUACGAUCUACGGAUGAAAGCGGGGGAUCGCAAGACCUCGCGCGAAUGGAGCGGCCGAUGUCAGAUUAGGUAGUUGGUGGGGUAAAGGCUCACCAAGCCAACGAUCUGUAGCUGGUCUGAGAGGACGACCAGCCACACUGGAACUGAGACACGGUCCAGACUCCUACGGGAGGCAGCAGUGGGGAAUUUUGGACAAUGGGCGCAAGCCUGAUCCAGCCAUUCCGCGUGCAGGAUGAAGGCCUUCGG